GGAUGAAACAAAAUGCUGGCUAGAAGCUGAGAAAGUGGAUAAUGUGGUGCGGGAGGGACAUGGGGAGGGUUGUCAUGGCUUGAGGACCCCAGUUUACCCACACUUCACCGGUUCCCCAGUGCCCAAGGCAGGUGGAGGCUAUUCUGUGGACUUUGGGGGUCGUUGAGGUCUCAGUUAAAUAGGGAGGACCUCUUCCAGGGCCCUGUCUCAGCUCCCAUAAUCCCAACAGACCCGAGACAAGUGGCCCUGGGGCAGCUGUAGUCCAGUCUCCUCCCACAGCUCUCCAAGUCCUCCGUCCGCAGCUGGGAGUCACGGAGGGCAGGUCAGAGGCUAAAACCUGUCUCCAGUCCUUUGGUCCUUUCCUCCCUUACCCACGCCCAGGGCGGACCCGGACUUGGGUUUCUCGGCUCGCUCGGGGCAGGCGGGUCAGCUGAUCAGGUUCCACAUGUCCACCUACAAUAUUUUGAGGAAGAUGCUUCUUCUGAGUCAUUGUCUCUUCAUGGUGCUCUCGAUGUAUGACUCCAGCAAGAAGAUUGUUUCAUCUACCUGGAUCUCACUGGCAUCCAACCUGAAUGAAAAAGGUCUCCAGCUGCUGACGUUCAGGAGCUGUGAUCAUCUCUUCUAUUUCUUGCAGCUGUGCCUCCUCUGCACCUGUGGCCUGCAUAGAUGCAAUGAUGGCUUCUACCCUCUGAGACUUUUCUAGUAGACGCCUGUCAGACAAACACAACUCUGAGGCAUCUUCCUUAACUCUGAGGUUUUCUUACCCUUUCUCCCUGAGGCACAAGUUCCCCUUUCACCAUGUUCCUGAUCAAAGUGGAUAACAGCACCUUUAAAGACGUUUUCUAUAGACUUACUCUGCAAAAUUAUUUGGGGGUAUACUGGAAAAGUCUAGACUAAUGCACGAUUUAUGCCAACCUUAAACAAUGAUUCAAUUAACUAGACUGGUUAUUGGAUAAUUGUCUCCAUUUCUAUAGAAAAUUCCCUUUAGGCCUUUGAUCUUGAAAAAUGUAAAUGACAAAUGAAAAUGC
This is a long non-coding RNA of Urocitellus parryii (Arctic ground squirrel), 1028 nucleotides long. RefSeq lists it as uncharacterized. The record is from RefSeq and is a predicted model, not a curated record. NCBI's taxonomy places the organism in Eukaryota, Metazoa, Chordata, Mammalia, Rodentia, Sciuridae.